This 497-nucleotide ribosomal RNA is filed under the name uncultured bacterium. RNAcentral describes it as "partial 16S ribosomal RNA". It matches the Rfam family "Bacterial small subunit ribosomal RNA", at positions 28 to 507 of the family's 1533-position model. The record is from RNAcentral.
GAUGAACGCUGGCGGCGUGCCUAAUACAUGCAAGUCGAGCGAACAGACGAGGAGCUUGCUCCUCUGACGUUAGCGGCGGACGGGUGAGUAACACGUGGAUAACCUACCUAUAAGACUGGGAUAACUUCGGGAAACCGGAGCUAAUACCGGAUAACAUGUUGAACCGCAUGGUUCAACAGUGAAAGACGGUCUUGCUGUCACUUAUAGAUGGAUCCGCGCCGCAUUAGCUAGUUGGUAAGGUAACGGCUUACCAAGGCAACGACGCGUAGCCGACCUGAGAGGGUGAUCGGCCACACUGGAACUGAGACACGGUCCAGACUCCUACGGGAGGCAGCAGUAGGGAAUCUUCCGCAAAGGGCGAAAGCCUGACGGAGCAACGCCGCGUGAGUGAAGAAGGUCUUCGGAUCGUAAAACUCUGUUAUUAGGGAAGAACAAAUGUGUAAGUAACUAUGCACGUCUUGACGGUACCUAAUCAGAAAGCCACGGCUAACUACGUG